CAAAAGCGCCACAGCCGCACAAAGGUACGGUCGACGAGGCGGGAGGAGUAUCGAAAACUCGGCGGAUGCCUCCCCGCAGCGUUCCCCUGUGAUAGAAUCCGGCAAAACCGCAGGUAACUGACGGCACAA
RNAcentral lists this non-coding RNA (129 nucleotides) under human gut metagenome. RNAcentral's name for it is "glmS glucosamine-6-phosphate activated ribozyme". It matches the Rfam family "glmS glucosamine-6-phosphate activated ribozyme aptamer", at positions 9 to 147 of the family's 167-position model. Rfam says of the family: This entry contains a glucosamine-6-phosphate activated ribozyme that is found in the mRNA for GlmS. GlmS is an enzyme that uses fructose-6-phosphate and glutamine to generate glucosamine-6-phosphate. RNAcentral also lists the same sequence under 1 other name. The record is from RNAcentral.